GACGAACGCUGGCGGCGUGCCUAAUACAUGCAAGUAGAACGCACAGUUUAUACCGUAGCUUGCUACACCAUAGACUGUGAGUUGCGAACGGGUGAGUAACGCGUAGGUAACCUGCCUGGUAGCGGGGGAUAACUAUUGGAAACGAUAGCUAAUACCGCAUAAUAUUAAUUAUUGCAUGAUAAUUAAUUGAAAGGUGCAAUUGCACCACUACCAGAUGGACCUGCGUUGUAUUAGCUAGUAGGUGAGGUAACGGCUCACCUAGGCGACGAUACAUAGCCGACCUGGGAGGGUGAUCGGCCACACUGGGACUGAGACACGGCCCAGACUCCUACGGGAGGCAGCAGUAGGGAAUCUUCGGCAAUGGACGAAAGUCUGACCGAGCAACGCCGCGUGAGUGAAGAAGGUUUUCGGAUCGUAAAGCUCUGUUGUAAGAGGAGAACGGGUGUGAGAGUGGAAAGUUCACACUGUGACGGUAUCUUACCAGAAAGGGACGGCUAACUACGUG
RNAcentral lists this ribosomal RNA (505 nucleotides) under uncultured bacterium. RNAcentral's name for it is "partial 16S ribosomal RNA". It matches the Rfam family "Bacterial small subunit ribosomal RNA", at positions 28 to 507 of the family's 1533-position model. The record is from RNAcentral.